UCUUGAACGCAGCAUGACAGCACUUCACCACCACACCACUAGACUAUAUGAGCAAACCGCAUACGAUCGAUUUGACAGCAGCACUCACAAGUCCGAAGAAGUCACCCUGCUUGAUGCGAGUGCUGUAAAAUGCUU
Long non-coding RNA from Alosa sapidissima (American shad), 135 nucleotides. RefSeq lists it as uncharacterized. The record is from RefSeq and is a predicted model, not a curated record. Lineage: Eukaryota; Metazoa; Chordata; Actinopteri; Clupeiformes; Clupeidae. The transcript is spliced from 3 exons.